RNAcentral lists this ribosomal RNA (138 nucleotides) under Laccaria sp. Its description in RNAcentral is "partial large subunit ribosomal RNA". It matches the Rfam family "Eukaryotic large subunit ribosomal RNA", at positions 99 to 233 of the family's 3401-position model. The record is from RNAcentral. Lineage: Eukaryota; Fungi; Basidiomycota; Agaricomycetes; Agaricales; Hydnangiaceae.
CGGGAAAAGCUCAAAUUUAAAAUCUGGCAGUCUUUGGCUGUCCGAGUUGUAAUCUAGAGAAGCAUUAUCCGCGCUGGACCGUGUACAAGUCUCCUGGAAUGGAGCGUCAUAGAGGGUGAGAAUCCCGUAUGUGACCGG